Molecule: unclassified non-coding RNA, 364 nt
Filed under: uncultured bacterium
Lineage: Bacteria
Description: contains 16S-23S intergenic spacer region
Source: RNAcentral
UCCCCGUUACCGGGGCAGUCUGACUAGAAAAAUCCAACUAAUCAUAAGGGUUGCGCUCGUUAAAGGACUUAACCUAACAUCUCACGACACGAGCUGACGACGGCCAUGCAACACCUGUCACUUGGUUCCCGAAGGCACACUCUGCUUUCACAGAACUUCCAAGGAUGUCAAGUCUGGGUAAGGUUCUUGGCUUAGCCUCCAAUUAAACAACACGCUCCACCGCUUGUGCGGGUCCCCGUCUAUUCCUUUGAGUUUUAAUCUUGCGACCGUACUCCCCAGGCGGGAUGCUUAACGCGUUAGCUUCGCUACUGAAGCGGGUCGAUACGCCCAACAGCUAGCAUCCAUCGUUUACGGCGUGGACUAC